RNAcentral lists this ribosomal RNA (556 nucleotides) under uncultured bacterium. Its description in RNAcentral is "partial 16S ribosomal RNA". It matches the Rfam family "Bacterial small subunit ribosomal RNA", at positions 355 to 900 of the family's 1533-position model. The record is from RNAcentral.
UAGGGAAUCUUCCACAAUGGACGAAAGUCUGAUGGAGCAACGCCGCGUGAGUGAUGAAGGGUUUCGGCUCGUAAAACUCUGUUGUUGGAGAAGAACGGGUGUCAGAGUAACUGUUGACAUCGUGACGGUAUCCAACCAGAAAGCCACGGCUAACUACGUGCCAGCAGCCGCGGUAAUACGUAGGUGGCAAGCGUUGUCCGGAUUUAUUGGGCGUAAAGCGAGCGCAGGCGGUUUUUUAGGUCUGAUGUGAAAGCCUUCGGCUUAACCGGAGAAGUGCAUCGGAAACCGGGAGACUUGAGUGCAGAAGAGGACAGUGGAACUCCAUGUGUAGCGGUGAAAUGCGUAGAUAUAUGGAAGAACACCAGUGGCGAAGGCGGCUGUCUGGUCUGCAACUGACGCUGAGGCUCGAAAGCAUGGGUAGCGAACAGGAUUAGAUACCCUGGUAGUCCAUGCCGUAAACGAUGAGUGCUAAGUGUUGGAGGGUUUUCCGCCCUUCAGUGCUGCAGCUAACGCAUUAAGCACUCCGCCUGGGGGAGUACGACCGCAAGGUUGAAAC